Non-coding RNA from Callithrix jacchus (white-tufted-ear marmoset), 4799 nucleotides. The record is from RefSeq and is a predicted model, not a curated record. NCBI's taxonomy places the organism in Eukaryota, Metazoa, Chordata, Mammalia, Primates, Cebidae.
GCUCUGUGUGUCCCUGAGUGAGUUGGGGGGGGCUGUCCCCUGCUCUGUGUGUCCCUGAGUGAGUGGGGGGGACUGUCCCCUGCUCUCUGUGUCCCUGAGUGAGUGGGGGGGCUGUCCCCUGCUCUGUGUGUCCCUGAGUGAGUGGGGGGGACUGUCCCCUGCUCUCUGUGUCCCUGAGUGUGUGGGGGGGCUGUCCCCUGCUCUGUGUGUCCCUGAGUGAGUGGGGGGACUGUCCCCUGCUCUGUGUGUCCCUGAGUGAGUGGGGGGGACUGUCCCCUGCUCUCUGUGUCCCUGAGUGAGUGGGAGGGGCUAUCCCCUGCUGUGUGUCCUUGAGUGAGUGUGGGGGGGCUGUCCCCUGCUCUGUGUGUCCCUGAGUGAGUAGGGGGGACUGUCUCCUGCUCUGUGUGUCCCUGAGUGAGUGGGGGGAGGCUGUCUCCUGCUCUGUGUGUCCCUGAGUGAGUGGGGGGAGGCUGUCUCCUGCUCUGUGUGUCCCUGAGUGAGUGGGGGGGCUGUCCCCUGCUCUGUGUGUCCCCAGCCUGCUAGGUGCCCCACAGGGGCCAGGAUGCUGAGGAGGGAGAGGUCUUCAUGGGGAUGGGUGGCUCCUGUAAUAACGAGAUGACACUGGCUUCCUGGGGGAACAGCAGGGCAGGGUCCUUAGGUCCCACCAUAGGUGCCCAGUCUUGGCUGAGAUUCCCCAGUGUCCCUGAAGGGGCGCCUGGGACAGCCCGUGGCCCCUUGUCCUCCUGUCACCCUCGACCCUGGGCACCGCCCUCCUCGGCCUGGAAACCUGAGCUCCCUGACACCCCCGCCCCUCUCCCAGCCUGUGCCCAGGAAGGCUGCUGUUCUCUUAGUCAGCCCUGAAGCCUUUCCUCCCCAGCCUCCUCACCCCUCCCUUCGGUCCUUGCCAAUUGCCGGAGCUGGAGAAGGUGGGAGACUCUUGGAGAGACAGGGCCCUGGGGUCCUCCACUCCCAGGGUCAGAUGCUAACAAAGGCCAAGCGUCCUGCCAAGCAGUGUCCAGGAUUGGGGUGGGCAUGGGGGUUUGCCUCAGGUCCGGGCUCCAGGAUGUCGUGCAGGACAGGGCGUGUCCGCAGUGGGGACACUGGCUGGAAGCCGGAACUCCCGGCCUCGAGGGCGGAAAGUGUGUGGCCAGCACUGCGUGCUGGGCGGGGCCAUGGCCCCGUUGCCAGGCAGCGCCUCCCUGUACGCCAGUUGCCAUGGAAGCCGCUUCCUGCCCAUGUUGCCACGGCAUCCAGAUGGCCUCGGGGAGCCUGGUGCAGAGGGGCUGCCCUGUGUCCUUGCCCCUUGUCCGCUGCCCGGGAAUGGGUUGGGAGGGCAAAAAGGAUCAGAGGCUGGGAUGCGCAGCAUGGAGACCUGAGUCCUUCCUGCGGGAGCCGGGCAGUGGCCCAGGGCAGGGGCCGGAUGGGGCUGUUCUCCUGUCCACUCUGCGGCCUUGAGGUUCCAUGCCCCCAGCUUAUUAUUUUCUAUUUUUAUUUAUUGAAGACCCUGCCUAGGCUGGAGUGCAGUGUUGUGAUCACAGGUCACUGCAGCUUCCAGCUGGGCACAGGGGAUCCUCCUACCUCAGCCUCCCAUGUACUGGGGACCAUAGGUAUGUGCCACCCUGCCCAGCUAAUUCUUUAUUAUUUAUUUUUGUAGAUACUGGGUCUCGCUUUGUUGCCCAGGCUGGUCUUGAACUCCUGGCUCAAGUGAGCUGCCUGCCUCAGCCUCUCAAAAUGCUAGGAUUACAGGUGUGGGCCACCUUGCCUGUGCUAGACUGCCCCCAAGCAUAUCUCAAAAGCCAGGAACAGGCCCUGAGUGGGUGGAACUCAGGGUCAACGGAUCAGCCACAGCCCUCAGGGGACCCUGUCUCUGGUGCACCCUAUGCUCCUGGCCCACACCAACCCAGGCUGCCUGUCAGGGUCUGUUCCCUCAACAGCUCUCAGAGCUACCCUACGUGGAGGGUUGGGGGUCCCAGAAAACCUGGGAGAAAUGGCGGUGGGCCCUUUGUGGGCACUAUCCCUUCAUGUCCACCCAGAGUCUGGGCUGUGAUGCUCCUUUGCUUCAGGAGGGUAAGAGGUGCAUGUGGCCUUUGGGGGCCCAUGGGGGCUCCAAGGGUGGUCUUGGGCCUCUCGAGUUCCCCUGGACUCACAGCCAAGAGGAGGGGUCUGAGGGGCGCUGUGUGAGGGAUGCGGUGGCUUGCAGAGUGCCGGCCCUAUCCAGGGCCAGGGUGGUGAGUGGACACAUGUCCUGAGUGCCAGGAGCCUCCCUUGCCUCCCCACCCUGUGGGACACCACCGAGGGGACAGAGAACAGAUGGGGGCUGGGUCCUGGGAAUGGGGUAUGGGGGAAGGGCAGAGUGCUGGGGAUGCUGGGCCCACAACAUCCCUGUCCCUGGGGCCUUCCCAUGUCAGAGGCGAGGCUGGAGAGGUAAGGAUGCACCCUUUGUUAGCCCUGGCCCCAGCAUGGCCAAGCCACUCCCAGCGUGCGGGAGAGGGCAGGCCAUUUGUCUCCCUCCUGAGUGAGUCUCUGGACACUGCUUCUCACAUUUUUUAUUUAAGAAUCAGAGAGAUAAUAAGAAUGUCAUGGAAAAAUCCUCUCACAGACAAUGCAGCCACAUAAAUGACUGUCAGCCAGGGCGUCCAGGGCUCCAAGGCCCCAGGAGGUGGCUGUGCUGGGGCUGUCAGGCCCCUGGCUCCAGGGUUUCCAGGGCUGAAUUGAAUGUGCUCACCCCUGCCCAGGCCCAGUGACAGCCUGCCCCUGAGGAGCCCACAGGCUUGGCCAGUCCACCUUUUUGGUGCUCCCCGCCCACCUGCCCCUCCUAGUCAGACAGUGGAGCCUGGGAAGACAGUGUGGCAGAGUGCCUGAUGGUCAGUGCCAAGAUCAUCUCCCAGGUCCUUUCAAGAGCCAGGACUCCUGCCCUGUGCCCGCCCUGCAUCAAUUGGGGUCCAGGCUGCCCAUUGGAGCAGGAAACACAGUGCUGGGCUAUGAGCUCCUGGGGCCUGUCUCUGUGGCCCAGGACCCGGCUCCUGGGUUGAGGGAGAGAUCAGGGGCAGGUGAGGAGCAGCAGCCCCACUCCAGAAUCCCUCCAUGCCCACCCCUGGUUUUCUGGGGACUUGUGUGCAGGUACCGGCUAGAGCUGCGGUGCAGUCCCCAGUCUCACCACGAGAUGGCGCCAUGCCACUGCAGAUGCAGUGCCCACAGCAGGCCAGGCGUUCUUGGCAGCAGCAGCCCAGGGCGUCCACCCAGGAGAAGCACGGGCAAGACAGGCAGCCCCCUGCAGCCCCAGGUUCCCAUGUUGGUUGGAGCUGUGAUGAAAGGUACCGGGGCCACCCUUGCCUCUGCCCAGGACACAUAGCCAGUAAGUCACACUCCACUGCCCAACUAUGGGGUUUCAAGCCCCACUGCAGCCUCCAGGUGGGCCCUUGGACAGCAGGGCCUCUUGGGGGGAGGAGGGGACACUGGGAAGUCGGGGACCAGGCGGGGAAGGGAGAGAAGGCAGGCGCACAGUCGUGUGGGCACCCACCCCUUCCUGAGCUGACUGCGGUCUUCCCAGUCCACCCCACUCCAGUCCUCUGGGCCGGCUGCCAGGGGUGCUGCUCGAGGCCAAUACCUCCCUAGAAGAAGGUCUCACCUUCAGCUUGUUGCCCCUGACCUGGAGUUCGCCUAGAUCAACCGAGAGGCUGAUCUUUGGGCCUCAGUUCUCCCAUCCUCAGGGAGCAGGUCCUCUGUCCCCUGACAAGACCUCUCCCCUCUGAGCCACCACUGCUGCCAGGGUUGUGACUGGCGGAUGUCCCUCAGAGAGUGGCUCUGGGCCCUCAGGCAACCAGCCACUCUGGGGUGAGGGGUGGUCUGCACAUGAAUGCUGUCACUCUUGGGUCCUUUGGUUGAAGCUGGCUCUGCUGAGCGCAGCCUGCAAACAUUUUUAGGAAAACUCAGUCCACAGGCCGGGGCUUUCUGCUUCCCCCCAACCCAAAUGGCCCCCAGCCAGUCAGAGAGCCUUGAGAACCCAGCUGCUAGCAACUGCCAGCAGGAAACCCACACAGGGGAAGCCCAUCCCCGCAGCGGGCCCCUCCUCCCCGCCCCUCUGCUGACCGACCUGGCAGCUCCACGGGUGGGUGUGGCCGCCCUGCUGCCCCCACCUGCUCCCGAACCCUGUGCUGGGCAGUCCCUUGCCUCAGCAGGGCCUUGCCUCCCCCAGAGCUGCUCUGCUGCCUGACCUUGUGAUGUCAUGGGUCCUCUGGGCACUGGUGCAGUCGGUGGGGUCAGCUUUGGCCAGCAGGUGGGGGGCCGUUGAUGUCAAUCCUCCUCCCUCUCUGCUGUUUCCGCUUCCCUCCACCUGCCCAGCUUCCCUGCUUUUUCCCCACUCUGGCCCCAGGUUGCACUGCGCAGAAAGGUGUUGCUGCCCACUGGUGUUCAGGCCUGAUGUUCUCGGGAGCCUGGGCUAAGACCCUGACCGGCCCUCCCACCACCAACCUACACCACCACCCAGCUAGCCAGCAACAGGACCAGGAGUGGUCAGGAGGGAGCCCCCACGACCACCCACCCGGCGCCCACAGCCAGCUAACUCUGCCCGCUCAGGGCCGUGAGCUGGAGGUGCCAGGACUCCUGGAAGCCGUGUGGGGCAUUCUUCUCCAUAAGUCCCAAGUCGAUGGUAAAGGGCAGUCUCAACCCCUCGCUAAUGUGCAGUGAGCAGUUUCCCAUACAGGGGAGAUGUUUAAUUUAUCCAGGGAACUGGGCGAAAGUUAUAAAAAUGGUAAUUUCUUGGAGAUUCAAUUACAUGUUUUCAUUGUUACCCUCAGUAA